AGCUCGAUGAGUAGGGCGGGACACGUGGUAUCCUGUCUGAAUAUGGGGGGACCAUCCUCCAAGGCUAAAUACUCCUGACUGACCGAUAGUGAACCAGUACCGUGAGGGAAAGGCGAAAAGAACCCCGGCGAGGGGAGUGAAAAAGAACCUGAAACCGUGUACGUACAAGCAGUGGGAGCACCCUUUGGGGUGUGACUGCGUACCUUUUGUAUAAUGGGUCAGCGACUUAUAUUCUGUAGCAAGGUUAACCGUAUAGGGGAGCCGGAGGGAAACCGAGUCUUAACCGGGCGUUAAGUUGCAGGGUAUAGACCCGAAACCCGGUGAUCUAGCCAUGGGCAGGUUGAAGGUUGGGUAACACUAACUGGAGGACCGAACCGACUAAUGUUGAAAAAUUAGCGGAUGACCUGUGGCUGGGGGUGAAAGGCCAAUCAAACCGGGAGAUAGCUGGUUCUCCCCGAAAGCUAUUUAGGUAGCGCCUCGUGAAUUCAUCUCCGGGGGUAGAGCACUGUUUCGGCUAGGGGGCCAUCCCGGCUUACCAACCCGAUGCAAACUGCGAAUACCGGAGAAUGUUAUCACGGGAGACACACGGCGGGUGCUAACGUCCGUCGUGAAGAGGGAAACAACCCAGACCGCCAGCUAAGGUCCCAAAGUCAUGGUUAAGUGGGAAACGAUGUGGGAAGGCCCAGACAGCCAGGAUGUUGGCUUAGAAGCAGCCAUCAUUUAAAGAAAGCGUAAUAGCUCACUGGUCGAGUCGGCCUGCGCGGAAGAUGUAACGGGGCUAAACCAUG
RNAcentral lists this ribosomal RNA (788 nucleotides) under Salmonella enterica subsp. enterica serovar Bonariensis. RNAcentral describes it as "partial 23S ribosomal RNA". It matches the Rfam family "Bacterial large subunit ribosomal RNA", at positions 402 to 1191 of the family's 2925-position model. Lineage: Bacteria; Pseudomonadati; Pseudomonadota; Gammaproteobacteria; Enterobacterales; Enterobacteriaceae. The record is from RNAcentral.